Molecule: ribosomal RNA, 497 nt
Filed under: uncultured bacterium
Lineage: Bacteria
Description: partial 16S ribosomal RNA
Rfam family: Bacterial small subunit ribosomal RNA
Source: RNAcentral
GAUGAACGCUGGCGGCGUGCCUAAUACAUGCAAGUCGAGCGAACAGACGAGGAGCUUGCUCCUCUGACGUUAGCGGCGGACGGGUGAGUAACACGUGGAUAACCUACCUAUAAGACUGGGAUAACUUCGGGAAACCGGAGCUAAUACCGGAUAAUAUAUUGAACCGCAUGGUUCAAUAGUGAAAGACGGUUUUGCUGUCACUUAUAGAUGGAUCCGCGCCGCAUUAGCUAGUUGGAAAGGUAACGGCUUACCAAGGCAACGAUGCGUAGCCGACCUGAGAGGGUGAUCGGCCACACUGGAACUGAGACACGGUCCAGACUCCUACGGGAGGCAGCAGUAGGGAAUCUUCCGCAAUGGGCGAAAGCCUGACGGAGCAACGCCGCGUGAGUGAUGAAGGUCUUCGGAUCGUAAAACUCUGUUAUUAGGGAAGAACAAAUGUGUAAGUAACUAUGCACGUCUUGACGGUACCUAAUCAGAAAGCCACGGCUAACUACGUG